CCUCUCCAAGUAUUAAACCCCCUAUUAACUUGCCACCCAUUGGAAUUCCACCGGUGACAGUUCCGCCGAUUGUAAAACCACCUAUCAACUUGCCGCCUGUUAUUCCACCAGUUAUUAAGCCGCCCAUCGGAAUUCCACCUGUCACAGUUCCACCAGUAGUAAAACCACCUAUCAACUUGCCACCAGUUAUCAAGCCACCUAUCGGAAUUCCACCCGUUGUAAAACCACCUAUCAACUUUCCGCCCGUUGUUCCACCUGUUAUUAAGCCACCUAUCGGAAUCCCACCGGUGACAGUUCCACCAGUUCUUAAGCCACCAAUUGGUUUACCACCUAUUGUAAAACCUCCAAUCAACUUACCACCUAUCGGAAUUCCACCCGUGACAGUUCCACCAGUUAUUACACCAUCCCCUAAAGGAAAACCAUGCCCUUCACCACCAACAACAAAGGCAACAUGCCCAAUUAACACCCUAAAACUUGGAGCUUGUGUAGAUCUUCUUGGUGGUCUAGUUCAUAUUGGAAUUGGUGACCCUG
This 531-nucleotide long non-coding RNA is filed under the name Nicotiana benthamiana. Its description in RNAcentral is "long non-coding RNA (NBEN_LNC026728)". The record is from RNAcentral. Lineage: Eukaryota; Viridiplantae; Streptophyta; Magnoliopsida; Solanales; Solanaceae.